AAUGAAAACAUGGACUCCCCAUAUUCACAGCAGAGAAGUUUUUCACAUUGAACACAGACCAGAGAAGUGUUUCCACUAAUUUAUAUCUGAUAUGUGAAGGGCUAAGAAGUCAUCACUCCCAUCUUCAUAACAAGAAAAAAAGCUGAACAAACUGGAAAUCAACAACUAUGCUUAGGUUCAUCAGAAAACUGAGGUCAUUGGCUAAAUUGCAGCCCUGGAAGACAGACACAUGGAUACAGAGAAUCAUAGCUUAACAGGAACAGAAAACUGGAAGCAGAAGGCCUUAGCUUUCUGUAGGAACACUAACUGUCAUUGGUGAAUUGCUGGAAGGUUAGUGUGGACUAGCUUGUGAGUUAAAAAAUCCAAAGGGACCCAGUCUCAGGGGCACCCCGCACUUUCAUGAGUUUUACCUCCAGGAAACCUACCAGGUUCUCAAUAUCCCCUGUGCUUCUGGCAGGGAGAGGAAAGCUCUGAAAUACAUCCAGACCUCUCUGAUCUCCUUAAAAAAGCUUGUCCCUAAGGGAAUCUAUUUUACCAGAACCUAACAGGCUGGAGUUUUACCAAAGCCUGAUCAACAAAAUAUCCAACUCAGGCUCGCUAAAAGACUGAGACUUAAUUAUGGACAGGAGAACACUUCCUCUUCUCCCACACCUUGCGACCACAUCAAUAAGGCUAUUGUAUAAUAACAGGGGAUUACAGCAAAAAGAACUGCAGGCCUCUGACCAUAUUUAAAGAGUGCCAAAGGAAACCCAAAGACAAUAGAGUAGACAAAAGCAAGGAUACUAGAGGAAAUUUUAGUCUCUGACACUAUAGCUACAGCAAAUAGUAAGCAGAAUCUAACUCCUAGUCACAUAAAUAUAAAACCUUGCACUAAAGACCUAUCUAUCACAGUUCCUUUUAUAUCAUAUCCAGCCUUCAACAAAGAAUUACAAGCCACUCUAAAAGGCAAAAACAAAGUCUGAAGAGACAAAGCAAGCAUCAGAACCAGACUCAAGUGUGGCACAGAUUUGGGAACUAUCAGACAAGGAAUUUAAAACAACUAUGAUUAAUACGCCAAUGGUUCUAAUGGAAAAAGUGGACAGUGCAAGAACAAGUGAGUAAUAAAAGCAGAGAGAUGAAAGUGCAAAGAAGGAAACAAAUGAAAAUGCAAGAAAUCAAAAACACUGUAACAUAAAUAAUGCCUUUGAUGGGCUCAUAAGUAGAUUGGACAUAGCUGAGGAAAGAAUCAGUGAGCUUAAAGAUGAGUCCACAGAAACUCCCCAAACUGAAAUGCAAAAAGAAAAAAGAAAUAAAAAGUCAGAACAGAGUAUCUAAGAACUGUGGGCUAUUAGAAAAGGUAUAUGAUACAGUUUAGAUGUUCUGCCCCCUCCAAAUUUCAUGUUGAAAUGUGAUCCCCAAUGCUAGAGGUGGGGCCUGGUAGGAGGUGUUUCGGUCAUGGGGGCAGAUGCAUCAGGGAUGGCUUAGUGCCCUCCUCAUGAUAAUGAAUGAGUUAUCAUUCUACGUUCAUGUGAGUCCUGGUUGUUUAAAAGAAUGUGGUAUCUCGUCACUUUCCCUCUCUCAGCAUGUGAUAUGCUAGCUGCCCUUUCCUUCUGCCAUGAUUGUAAGCUUCCUGAGGACCUAACCAGAAGUAGAUGGUGGCACCUUGCUUCCUGUACAGCCUGCAGAACCAUGGGCCAAAAUGAAUCUGUUUUCUUUAUACAUUAACCAGUCUCAGGUAUUCCUUUAUAGCAAUGCAAAUGGACUGACACAGAAUAACACAUGUAUAAUGGGAAUACUGGAAGGAGGAGAGAAAAAGGAACAGAAGCAACAUUUAAAGCAACAAUUACUGAGAAUGUCCCAAAAUGAAUGACAGACACAAAGCUACAGAUCUGCAAAACUCAGAGAACAUCUAGGAGGAUAAAUACCAAAAAACCUAUAUCUAGGCAUAUUAUAUUCGAAUUAUAGAAAAUCUUUUUUAAAAGCUAGAGGAAAAAGAACACCUUACCUACAGUUGCACAAGUAUAAGAUUUACACCAAACUUAUACUCAGAAACCAUAUAAGCAAGAAGAGUGUGGAGUAAAAUAUUUAUCCCGUCUUAAAAAAAAAGACUACUAACCUAAAAUUCUGUAUCCAACAGAAUUAUCCUUCAAAAGUGAAGAAGUUUGGGAAAAAUAAAAAAGUUCUGGGGGUGGAUGGUGGUGAUAGUGGUACAACAAUGUGAAUGUACUUAAUGCCACUGAACUAUACACUUAAAAGUGGUUAAAAUAGUAUAUUUUAUGUUAUAUAUAUUUUGCCACAAUUUUUUAAAGUGAAGUAGUAAAUACUAAAGACUUUCUGAGACCAACAAAAAUGGAGAAAAUUUGUCACCAGUAGACUUGCCUUGCAAGUAAUAUUUUAAAAAGUUCUUCAGAGAGAAGAAAAAUAUAUCGGCAGAAACUCAGAUCUGUAUUAAAAAAAAUGGAAGAGCAUUAGGAAAGAAAAAAAGAAGGUAAAAUAUUAAAUUUUUCUUAUUAUUUAUUGAUCUAACAGAACAGUUUGUUCAAAAUAACAAUGACAAUGCAUUCAGUGAUUAUAGCUUAUUUGUGAAUGAAAUGAAUGAUAGUCAUUUUAUAAGAGACAAGAGAGAAGAAUUGGGAAUACUGUUUUAUAUAGUACUUGUACUACCAUGAUGUGGUAUAAUAUUACUUAAAAGUGCACUUAGAUUGGUUGUAAACAUAUUCUAAAAACUCUAGGGCAACCACUAAAAAUCGUACUUAAAAAAGAAGUAUAAUUAAUAUGCCAAGAGAAGAAAAAGUAGAAUCAUAUAAAUUGCCUAAUUAAAACCAGAGAAGUGGAAGACAAAAAAGCAAAGAAAAGAGAGAAAGAAAAAAGUAAGAAUGAAUGAGCAAACAAAGGAAAGAAAUAGAAAAUAUGUACAAAUAUGAUCGCUAUUAAUCCAACUAUAUCAAUCACUUUAAAUGUGAAUAGUCUAAAUACAUCAAUUAAAAGACAAAGACUGUCAAAGUGGAUAAACAAACAAGACCCAAUUAUAACUUGUCUACUAGAAACCCACCUUAAAUAUAAAGUUACAGAUUAAUUUCACUAUGCAGGUGAAGGAAAAUGAGACUCAGAGGACUAAGGCAUCAUAUUCUUGCAGAUUUUAAGUGGCAGAGCCAGAAUCAGACUGAAGUUUAGUUAACUACAUAGUCUCUAGUCUCUCCUUCAAACUGUGUUGCCUGGAAAGGGUCUUUAUAUUUCAUGCUGUGAGAAACAGAUAAUCUCUUCCAAAGUUUACUCGUAAUACAUCAGAUUACCCUGGCCAAUUCUCUUUUUCAGUCUCAUUUUAUUUAUUUAGUUAGUUAGUUAGUCAGUUAGUUAGUUUUUGAGAUGGAGUCUCGCUCUGUCGCCCAGGCUGGAGUGCAGUGGCACGAUCUCAGCUCACUGCAAGCUGCGCCUCCCGGGUUCAUGCCAUUCUCCUGCUUCAGCUCCCGAGUAGCUGGGACUACAGGCGCCUGCCACCACGCCCGGCUAAUAUAUAUAUAUAUAUAUAUAUAUUUUAGUAGAGACAGGGCUUCGCCGUGUUAGCCAAGAUGGUUUAGUCUCAUUUUUUUUUUUUUUUUUUUUUUUUUGAGACGGAGUCUGGCUCUGUCGCCCAGGCUGGAGUGCAGUGGCGCGAUGGUUUAGACUCAUUUUUAAAAGACUUUAGUUGUUCAGAAGAGUAGAGUGAUAUAGUUGAAUAGUGGCAAAAGAACUAACUGAGGGGCAAAAAGAGGCUAUUAACAGUUAUUGAGAGACUGUAUGUACAUGACAUUCUCCUAGACCCUGGUAGAGCAUAGCGACAACACUGUCACCUCAAAUGAAGAACAUUACAAUCUAGAAAUGGAAAUCUCAACACCUUAUUUUUUUUCUAGGCCUACUAGAAAAAAUAAAAAAGUAAAUUAGUAUAAUCCACUUUUACCAAAAAUUUUCAAAAUUUUCAAAAUUCCUUGAGAAUAUUUAUAGACUUCUAAAAGUAAAACAUAAAAUUGUUUUAGACAAUUAUCCAACAUUUGAAAAUAAAGCAAAGUUUGAAUGUCUCUUCCAUGAUAAAAUGGAGCAUAGCCCAAGAAGCCAUCAAAGCAUUAUUUAAUUAUCUAUGUGGUUAUAGUUUUGUGUGACCUACUGUUUACUACUGAAUUGACCCAGCAUUAUGAAGCUGUAAAUUGACUGGUAGAUUUGUGUCUUGAAGAAAUGCAAAUUGCUUCUACCCAGAAAAGAAAAAAAAAAAGAUAAUCUCAAAGGUUAUAGUUUUAUUUUCCUACUGGAUGUUUGAUAAUUUAAUAUGUAUACUAGAAAACGAAUUCAUAUGAUUUUCCUGAGAAAAUAUACAACCUAUACAACCUACACAGCCUACUCAUCUAGUUCUCUUGAACCAGCUGUACCAUCUUGCUGGUUCUCUCAUUAAAUAAGCUAAAUCAAUCUUUGACAAAUGUUCCCUCUAUAUUUGUGUAAGAGUCAUGUUUUCAACUUUUUAAAAAAAUUAUAUUUUGACAGAUUUGAAGGUUGCCCUAAAGGUGCAUAGUGUGUUCACCUGCUAGAGCUAGUUAAGCAGAGUUGCCCAAGAAACUCCUGGGGUGAAUCACAAACAGCAAUAGAAUUUUCCCUUUCGGACUGUCAGAUUUGUCUUCUGAUUCUGUUUUUCUUUUCUUUUCUUUUUUUCUGGUUUGUUUCAUUGUCGCUCCUGAUCUUGGCCAGGAAGUUCCACAUUUGUUUAACUUAUUGUCUAGGAUUAUGUCCAUUUUCACAACUGCUACUGGAUCACAAGGUUGGGCUUAAUUAUGUAAUCAAGAGAACCCUCAUGUAUAAAACAGGUGUAUAAAACAGCCGAUUCCAGAGACUAGUAGGUACUGAAUAACUAGGUGAGUAGAGGUCACAUAAUCUAUAAAAUGUUCCCCCUUUGGAAUGACAAUAAUUAGCAAUCUGGUUUUAUGACAAGAUCACUUGGUAACCUAUAUUAGGAUGAUGAGAAUAUAUUCUUUGUUGAGUGGUAGAAGACAGAGAAUAUGGUUAGUUGUUCCAUAUUUUUUGUGUGUCUAUUUGUCUGCUUAAAUCCAUAAAGAAAACAUUCAUUUUUCACUGAAAAGGAGAAUAACCAUUGAGACUGUGUGUCUUUUGCUUGAGGUUGUGGAACUGAAUUUCAAGUCCUGUAGGUGGUUGUGUAUUUAACUGAGAAAAAAACCUUUCACCACUAUUUACCAUAUUUAGUAUUCAUAUAUGCAUAUAACUAUUUAUCAUAAUAAGAAUAUGAAGUCUUUUCUUCUAGGAUAUACCAAUAAAUUAAAUUACAAUGUGUCUUCAGUAAAAACAGCUUUUUCUAAUAUUAGAGUCUAUUAAAUACUUGUACAAAUUUAAUAGUCCCAGAAUUCUCAUAAAAUAAAGAAACUGAUCUCUAAUAUAAUGAAUGUUCUAGUCUUUUAAGGAAAAAUAAAUUUCCAGAUAAAAAUGCUGCCUCAGAAGCAUUGUUAGUAUGUAAGAAUCAAGAUGAAUCUUUAGAUAUAUAUUGGUUUGGUAAUUUUAGUUUACAAAAUUUUCCUUGUUUUGUCAUUACGAAAAAUAAACAUCAUUUAACUUAAUUUUUUUAAUUUAUAUUUCUUUUCUAAUGAAGACAUUAGUUAAUCUUAAAUUUGGUUACAACUUAUGGCUUAUAUGGGUGGUCACGGUAAAUGAAUGAGCAUGUUUGUGUUCCAAUAAAAGUAUUUACAAAAACAGGUGGGCUGGAUUUAGGUAGUGAGUCGCCAGAGUCCCAACCUGACAAGUAUGAAAAAAGAAAAAAAGGUACUUCCUGGUUAAUUUAACUCGGACUACCUUUCCUAAUGAAUUAUUUGACUUCUGUUUCUUCCUUUAACCAUCUUUUCAUCCUGAUGAUUUCCUUCAUUGAGCCAAAUAAACGUUAAGCAUAUGCUUGUUUUAUAUUUCUAUAUUUUUACUAUUUAAAAAAAAAUUUUUUUGAUAGAAUCAAAUAACAGAGGACCAGGCAUGGUGGCUCACACCUGUAAUCCGAAUACUUUUGGAGGCCGAGGCAAGCGGAUCACCUCAGGUCAGGAAUUCGAGACCAGCCUGGCCAACAUAGUGAAACUCCAUUUCGACUAAAAACACAAAAAUUAGCCAGGAGUGGUGGUGCAUACCUGUAAUCCCACCUACUGGGAAGCCUUAGGUAAGAGAAUCACGAACCUGGGAGGCAGAGGUUGCAGUGAGCCGAGACCAUGCCACUGCACUCCAGCCUGGCUGACACAGCGAGACUUUGUCUCAAAAAAAAAAAAAAAAUCAGAUAACAAAAUAACAGAGCCACAUACAAAAAUCUUAUUAGAACUGAUGCAAAUGUAGAUGGGGCCAAUACGGUAUAGACUAUGCAGAUGAUACAAAAGAGCUUAAAACUAUGAUUCUGCUGUGACAAAAGUUUCCAUCAAAUAUGUGUCCCUAAGCCUUCAACUCCUUUUUAGUCAUUAUUUAUCCACUUCUUGUCAUUGAUUAAUGAGAAUAAAAGCCACCCUAUUGCACAGGAAAAAAAUCAUACACUGAAUUUAUUAAAUACAUAAUUUAAUGCAAAUAUGAUUAAAUAAACUUUGUCUUUUCAGUGUGAAUCACAAUGAAUUCUAUGAGGAAAUAAUAGAUUUGCUCUUUAUUUUUAAUAGGUUUCUGUCUCAGAUGGUAUGCAAUUCAGCAUAUACCAAGUAUUGAAUAUUGUGAUGAUGCAGGGCUAAUAAUUUCAUGUAGCUGUUUACAUUUUAUUUUCCACAAAUACCUUAAUGAUAUCUCUGGCACCACAGGAUAUCAAUGACUAAAUUUUUAUGCUUUAUCUCUAGUCUGUAGAAAUUAAAGUGUUUAAGUUGUCCUUUGGCAUGCUACUGUUUUGAACAAUUAAAGUGUUUGAUCUAGUUUAAAUGAUGUUACAUUUAUUAAGACACACUUGCCUAAAAUAUCAAUUUCCUUUUCUAAUUUAGUAUUCUCCUAGAAUUUUACUCUAAUUAAUGUAGACAAUUUUACCUGGACAUGUGAGAGUUUGCUCUCCUUUGAAUGUGAUGUAAUUUAUCAUGUUUAUAUGUACACUGAUCCUUUUCC
RNAcentral lists this long non-coding RNA (7056 nucleotides) under Homo sapiens (human). Its description in RNAcentral is "non-protein coding LURAP1L-AS1:4". The record is from RNAcentral. Lineage: Eukaryota; Metazoa; Chordata; Mammalia; Primates; Hominidae.